This 1863-nucleotide long non-coding RNA is filed under the name Ursus americanus (American black bear). RNAcentral's name for it is "lncRNA (ENSUAMG00000018170.1)". Lineage: Eukaryota; Metazoa; Chordata; Mammalia; Carnivora; Ursidae. The record is from RNAcentral.
AAGCAGUCCGCUCGGCCGCGGCCGCACGGGGCGGCGAGGCUGGGGCGCUGGCGCCGCGCCAGCCCCGUCAGAAUUAGCUCAUUGUUCGCCGGCACGCUGGCGGCGGGGAGGGGGGCUCCUGGAGAAAGACACACACUUGGAGAGCGCGAGGCAGGGAGACCUUCCCCUCCUUCGUCCCCACGGCCGCACUUCUUGGAAGUGAAGCCGGUUUGGGUUUUGCUUCCCUUCCCCCUCCUCUCUCCUCUCCCUCCACCCCUUUCCCCUCCCCCUCCCCCCCCAGCUGUCUUUCGAGCAUGAUGCCCUUUUUCAUCCCCAUUUGUGUUUCAGGUGUAGAGAGGAGAGAGUGAGCAGGGAGCGGGGCUUUUGUCUGUUUAUUACCCAGAGCUCUCUGUCUGGGUCAGUCAAGAACCAUUUCCAAAUAAGGAAAUGGAGGGGAGGCUUCCUAAGAAACUGUCCUCAGAAACCUGACUCUGGGGAAUGCUGCCUCCCACAUGGCUGGGCACAGCCAUUAGAGAAGCACUCGAUUCUCCCGAAGCCAAGCCAGUGAGUGUUUAAUUACUUCAUGCCCCCACAGACCUAAUAUUUACAUUCAGGGGAACUGUGUUUAAUAUGUAAACUCUGUUUGCAAAACAUCUGGAGUUCAAGGAUAAAAGGCGGGAGGGAGAAGCAAAAAACUUCAAAUGGCUUCAGAAGCAUGACUAAGUGUCUUUUGUGUGUGUGGGUCCACCUGCUUUUCAGGGAAGACUUCCUGUCCCAAAGGAAGUGAACCGCAAGAAGGAUGAGCAGAUUGAGGCCGCCUCCCUGACUCCACCUGGCAGCAGUGAACUCCACUCCCCAGGCAUCGGUUACCUCCACUCUUUUUAAUCGUCACACCUCCAUCUGUAUUACAUAUGGUGUAUGGGUAUUGAUGAGGUCAUGGUAUCAUAUAUGGGAUUUUUUUCUGUGUAAAUCAUCAAGUAUAAGAAGAAACUAUGGGACUCUGAGCCUUGCUUUAGAGAAUUUACAGUGGACAAAUAGGUAUCAUCAAUCCAGUUUUUAAUCAUUCUGACUCAAGUGAAACCGCUCAGAAUUUCACACUGUGAAUCCACGUUUACAACCCUUACAGGUGGGCCUUCAGGCCUGGUUCUCGACAACGAUGUCUUCCACAACUCAAACUCCCUCUGCUCUCACACAACCGGUCCACUCCUGUCUUUUCACUCACACAGCUCCCGACUGCUUCUCGCAGAGGCUGAGAGUCCCCCUUUUUUUUUUCAUUUAGAUGUAACAAGCCUAGUAGUUUAUGUUCAUCAAUUGUCUGUAUAUCUAUAUUUUAUCCAUGUACUCUUUUGAUGUAUAGAAGUAGUUUGAAACUCAUCGUUUCCUUGUGGUAAGUGACCGAGAUGCUGCCACAGGACCUGAGACACUGAUGAAUGGUGCUAUUUUGGACUUUCAACAUGCUCCUUGGCGAGGUAGCUCUGAUGGAGUUAUAUUUUAUUUCCAUGUUCUAAGAAGGUGUUGGUACUCUGUUUCCCUGAAUGUUGUUCUCUAGACUGGAUUGACUUGUUUUCCUCGUGUCUUCAGUGUGGCUUUCUUCUUCAGCGUUGUAGGUUGAGUGAACGCUACCAGAGAGAGUAAGAGACUCACGUCUCGCCGGCUGGCACUCACGGCCAUGCAGUCCCUGUAGCGGGAGCAAUCACAAAACUGUAAUUUACUUACCAAAUCUCUUCUUUCCGGUAGCCUCGCCUGCCUAGCUUACAGAAAGAAAAGCAAUAAUUUGACAGGCGUUUUUAGGUGUCUCUUUUGGUUCUUUUUGUUUGAAAGAAUAUUUGGGGGAAAAAAAGGGCAAACGUUUCAAAUAAACGCCCUGUGGGGAAAAAAAAUCCA